GGACGCUUAGCUCAGUUGGUAGAGCACCGCCCUUACAAGGCGGGGGUCACAGGUUCGAGCCCUGUAGCGUCCACCA
RNAcentral lists this transfer RNA (76 nucleotides) under Corallincola sp. RNAcentral's name for it is "tRNA-Val". It matches the Rfam family "tRNA". Rfam says of the family: Transfer RNA (tRNA) molecules are approximately 80 nucleotides in length. Their secondary structure includes four short double-helical elements and three loops (D, anti-codon, and T loops). RNAcentral also lists the same sequence under 1 other name. The record is from RNAcentral. Lineage: Bacteria; Pseudomonadati; Pseudomonadota; Gammaproteobacteria; Alteromonadales; Psychromonadaceae.